Oxyura jamaicensis (ruddy duck) is the source of this 395-nucleotide long non-coding RNA. RefSeq lists it as uncharacterized. The transcript has 2 exons. The record is from RefSeq and is a predicted model, not a curated record. NCBI's taxonomy places the organism in Eukaryota, Metazoa, Chordata, Aves, Anseriformes, Anatidae.
CUGCUUUUAUUUAACAUUUUCAGUAUAGACUAUUUUCCAAUCACUUGCUCACAUAUUGCAUUUAGAAAGCAUACAUGAUGACUCCAGAAAUGAAAAAGUAAAUUUUGAAAGUAAAUUUGAAAGAAAAAGUUGCCACCAGCAAUUGGACAACUUAUUUUCUAACAAUUUAGUUCUAGGAAAAUAACUUUAUUUAAGAUUUAAAAACAUGAGAUGUAAAUUCUGAGGAUGCUGCACAGAGCAUGGAGGUCAAUAAACAGAAUCAUGGUGUGUCACAAAGAAUGACCUACAGUUCACCUUCUUUUUGCCACAAGGUAGAGGACUGACAAUAUAAAAAAUAAUAAAUACACAGCUUUUAAACUAUAAACACUAUUUGAUCUAUCCUUUAAAAAUGUAGA